Brachypodium distachyon (stiff brome) is the source of this 2314-nucleotide long non-coding RNA. RefSeq lists it as uncharacterized. The record is from RefSeq and is a predicted model, not a curated record. The transcript has 2 exons. NCBI's taxonomy places the organism in Eukaryota, Viridiplantae, Streptophyta, Magnoliopsida, Poales, Poaceae.
UCUACUCAUCAAGAUUCGUGUCAAUUCUUUUUCCUCUGACUGCUCUCUCGCUGGACCUCGACCCUUCUUCUGGUCUUCUCUCCCCAUUCUGCCAGGCGGCGCGCUCGAGACGGAGAGGACAGCGCGGGGGCUUCUGCUCGUCGCCCGCGGUUUGGGAGGUGGGGGGUGGCGGGGCGAUUCUUCUCGUCGGCCACUUGACCGACGGCGCGACGCUGCGGACGUGCUGGGUGCGACGGCGCAGACGAUUGGGACGCGCCGUACACGAGGAGACAGGGGAGGCGCCGGGGAUCGUCUCCGGCUCGAGUCCGCGGCCGCCGGGGCGCGCCUCUUCUCCAAUCUACAAGCUCUCGCGGGGAACUUCCUCACCAGCGACAACUUAUCUCCGGUUCGAUUCGCUCGCGCUUUGCCGCUAAUUUCAGUGGGAUAUGGUUGUUCGUAGGCCUUGUGUUUGUUGUGUUAGGUGGCGAUUUUCACUGUCUUUGUCGUUGGAAUGAGCUAGAUGGGGGUUGAGGUAGUACCCGAACAUAUAUAUGGAUGCAGAUAAUCACAGGGAAAUAAAUCACUCACAAACUUUUUGUUCAUUGUUUCAUUGUACUUGUUCGUUUGUGUGGAAGCAGGGAUUUUCGUUUGAUUUGGCGAGUGUGUAGCAUGAAUGGGAACAGCAUGUAUCCAUUUGUAGUCUGAUCUUACUCACAGAUUUUUGCUUGUAUUGCUAGCAUGAACAGGAACAUUAGGAAUCUGUAGUCUGGGCUUAUGGGGGCUUAUUCCUGUGGCGAUGAUUUUUGUUUGAACUGCUGUGAUUUGGUGUUGCUUGAGUUCUCGCAGUUUUGAUGGAGCAUUUUUUAAGGCCCGCUAGCCGUAGUAGGGUAUCUACCCAUUUUUACCCUACUUUUCAUGGUCAGACUCAUUUGUGCUUUUCAUCCAUACUUUACUAGAAAUGUCAAUAUGAUUGAUAUGAUGUCGAUCCGUUCCUUCAAGUGUAAUGGCCAAUUUGCAGCUAUUUUUUAUGUCUAAUUUUCUGUUGAGUUUGACUGAUGAUUUAUGGGUCUAGCUUUUGGCCUUAGUACAAAGUGUCCAUCGGUGCGUUUUGGUUAGCAGGGUGUCAUUUUUUGGCUUACAUAUAUGGGUACAAAUAUGAUGGGUUCGUUUGUAUCCGAUGUAUUUUUUUUUUUGGCCUACAAGUUGUGUUUUCAUAAAUGCUUUGAAAAAUUAAGUUGUUUUAUAUGUGCUCGCUGUUUUAAGGUGUUUAUUACAAUUUUUGUGUUCAUGGGUUUUGUGUUCAUCGUGGCCAAUUGCACUCUACUUUAAAUUUAAUUACACUAGUUUAACUUUUGCAAUUCUAGAUAUACCAAACUGCAACUAAUUGCAUAUUUUUAAGUUUAUUUUCAUCAUGGCAAAUUGCACUGCCCUUUAAAUUUCAUUGCACUACUUUAACUUUUGCAAUUCCAAGUGUACCAACUUGCAAUCACAAUUUUCAUUUAUGUUCCUUUCUUCUACGUUCAAAUUACUUCCACAAGUAUAUAUACUCUUUUUACUUUCUUUUUUGUCUGUCUUUAGUGGUAGCAGCGACAGAAGCAAUGUAGAAGCAAGACCUGAGAUUAAUUUCAAAUAAGAAGGUUGAAAGUUGCAGUGCCUUUUAAAUCAAAUUGCACCCCUUUCUGCCGUUGCAAUUCCAGCCUUUUGAAAUUGCAAUUGCACUAGGUCUUGUACAUUCAGUUAUGCAAUCUAUUUGAAAUUUGCACUGCCUUUUAAAUCAAAAUGCACCCCCUUUUCAUCUCGCUCGCUCUAUAUUGUGGCUACAUUAAUUUCCUUUGUUCUUUGGCCGAUAAGGGGUGUGAUUCCCAGGAAAUCCAGUGUCAAGAAUAAGGGGAGGGGAGGGAAGAGGGUGCGGUCAGUGGGCACACCUUGACUACGGGGGAUUGAUGUUAGCUCCCAUAAUUCUGGCUUCAAGUUGUUGUUCUCUCUACGGAUCUGAGACGGUUGAUUUCUGCUUGAGUUUAUGUUUUACCGAAUUUUGCUUCGUCCUUCUCUUCCUCAAGCCGCCAUGAGCAAUAUUGAGAUACAUUUUGUCCAAGAAGGGUGAUGGCAAUGAUUAGACGAUGAUCUUUUUUCGCAUGUUAACUGAAACACCCAUUUUCUGUAUUUCUGUCGAAGUGUUUUGGAUCUGAUGUUGCUAGAUGUUUAAUUCUGUGAGGAUAAUUUUGCAGCUUAUAUGCUCGAGUUGGAGGUGUCUUUUGUAAGGUGUAUAAACAUAUAAUUGGAAAUUUCUGGUUCAAAUAACGGUAGUUUACUUAUAAUUCCUUUUGUUGUUAAA